UACAGAGGGUGCGAGCGUUAAUCGGAAUUACUGGGCGUAAAGCGCGCGUAGGCGGUUUUGUAAGUCGGGUGUGAAAUCCCCAAGCUUAACUUGGGAACUGCAUUCGAGACUGCAUAGCUAGAGUAUGGGAGAGGGAAGUGGAAUUUCAGGUGUAGCGGUGAAAUGCGUAGAUAUCUGAAGGAACAUCAGUGGCGAAAGCGGCGCGCUGGACCACUACUGACGCUGAGGAACGAAAGCGUGGGGAGCGAACAGG
This 253-nucleotide ribosomal RNA is filed under the name uncultured bacterium. RNAcentral's name for it is "partial 16S ribosomal RNA". It matches the Rfam family "Bacterial small subunit ribosomal RNA", at positions 524 to 776 of the family's 1533-position model. The record is from RNAcentral.